This 253-nucleotide ribosomal RNA is filed under the name uncultured bacterium. Its description in RNAcentral is "partial 16S ribosomal RNA". It matches the Rfam family "Bacterial small subunit ribosomal RNA", at positions 524 to 776 of the family's 1533-position model. The record is from RNAcentral.
UACAGAGGGUGCGAGCGUUAAUCGGAAUUACUGGGCGUAAAGCGUGCGCAGGCGGUUUUGUAAGUCUGUCGUGAAAUCCCCGGGCUCAACCUGGGAAUUGCGAUGGAGACUGCAAGGCUAGAAUCUGGCAGAGGGGGGUAGAAUUCCACGUGUAGCAGUGAAAUGCGUAGAGAUGUGGAGGAACACCGAUGGCGAAGGCAGCCCCCUGGGUCAAGAUUGACGCUCAUGCACGAAAGCGUGGGGAGCAAACAGG